UACGUAGGGGGCAAGCGUUGUCCGGAAUCAUUGGGCGUAAAGCGCGUGUAGGCGGUUCGGUAAGUCUGCUGUGAAAGUCCAGGGCUCAACCCUGGGAUGCCGGUGGAUACUGUCGGACUAGAGUACGGAAGAGGCGAGUGGAAUUCCCGGUGUAGCGGUGAAAUGCGCGGAUAUCGGGAGGAACACCAAUUGCGAAGGCAGCUCGCUGGGACGUUACUGACGCUGAGACGCGAAAGCGUGGGGAGCAAACAGG
RNAcentral lists this ribosomal RNA (253 nucleotides) under uncultured bacterium. Its description in RNAcentral is "partial 16S ribosomal RNA". It matches the Rfam family "Bacterial small subunit ribosomal RNA", at positions 524 to 776 of the family's 1533-position model. The record is from RNAcentral.